CCUACGGGUGGCUGCAGUGGGGAAUAUUGGACAAUGGGGGCAACCCUGAUCCAGCCAUGCCGCGUGUGUGUAGAAGGCCCUCGGGUUGUAAAGCACUUUCAGUGAGGAAGAACGCCUGGUGGUUAAUACCCAUCAGGAAAGACAUCACUCACAGAAGAAGCACCGGCUAACUCCGUGCCAGCAGCCGCGGUAAUACGGAGGGUGCGAGCGUUAAUCGGAAUUACUGGGCGUAAAGCGCGCGUAGGUGGCUUGAUAAGCCGGUUGUGAAAGCCCCGGGCUCAACCUGGGAACGGCAUCCGGAACUGUCAAGCUAGAGUGCAGGAGAGGAAGGUAGAAUUCCCGGUGUAGCGGUGAAAUGCGUAGAGAUCGGGAGGAAUACCAGUGGCGAAGGCGGCCUUCUGGACUGACACUGACACUGAGGUGCGAAAGCGUGGGUAGCAAACAGGAUUAGAUACCCGAGUAGUC
RNAcentral lists this ribosomal RNA (465 nucleotides) under Vreelandella stevensii. RNAcentral describes it as "partial 16S ribosomal RNA". It matches the Rfam family "Bacterial small subunit ribosomal RNA", at positions 338 to 795 of the family's 1533-position model. Lineage: Bacteria; Pseudomonadati; Pseudomonadota; Gammaproteobacteria; Oceanospirillales; Halomonadaceae. The record is from RNAcentral.